UACAGAGGUCUCAACCGUUGUUCGGAUUCAUUGGGCGUAAAGAGUGCGUAGGCGGUCGCGCAAGUCGGAUGUGAAAUCUCAGGGCUCAACCCUGAAACUGCAUUCGAUACUGCGUGGCUAGAGUGCUGGAGAGGAGACUGGAAUUUACGGUGUAGCAGUGAAAUGCGUAGAUAUCGUAAGGAAGACCAGUGGCGAAGGCGAGUCUCUGGACAGCAACUGACGCUGAGGCACGAAGGCCAGGGGAGCAAACGGG
This 253-nucleotide ribosomal RNA is filed under the name uncultured bacterium. Its description in RNAcentral is "partial 16S ribosomal RNA". It matches the Rfam family "Bacterial small subunit ribosomal RNA", at positions 524 to 776 of the family's 1533-position model. The record is from RNAcentral.